RNAcentral lists this ribosomal RNA (817 nucleotides) under Bacillus subtilis. RNAcentral describes it as "partial 16S ribosomal RNA". It matches the Rfam family "Bacterial small subunit ribosomal RNA", at positions 679 to 1467 of the family's 1533-position model. Lineage: Bacteria; Bacillati; Bacillota; Bacilli; Caryophanales; Bacillaceae. The record is from RNAcentral.
GGGUUAAAAUGGUAAAUUUGGGGAACCCCCCAGGGGGAAGGGGGCUUUUUUGGUUUUUUAACUUGAACCGCUGAGGGAGGAAAAGGUGGGGGAGGGAACCCGGGGAUUUAGAUCCCUUGGUUAGUCCCCCCCUUAAAACGGAUGAGUUGUUAAGGUUGUUAGGGGGGGUUUCCCGCCCCCUUUGUGCUGCAGGUUAACGGCAUUAAGCCACUCCCGCCUGGGGGAGUACGUUCGCAAGACUGAAAAUCAAAAGGAAUUGACGGGGGGCCCCGCACCAAGCGGGUGGAGCAUGUGGUUUUAAUUCGAAGCAACGCGAAGAACCUUUACCAGGGUCUUGACAUCCUCUGACAAUCCUAGAGAUAGGACGUCCCCUUCGGGGGCAGAGUGACAGGUGGUGCAUGGUUGUCGUCAGCUCGUGUCGUGAGAUGUUGGGUUAAGUCCCGCAACGAGCGCAACCCUUGAUCUUAGUUGCCAGCAUUCAGUUGGGCACUCUAAGGUGACUGCCGGUGACAAACCGGAGGAAGGUGGGGAUGACGUCAAAUCAUCAUGCCCCUUAUGACCUGGGCUACACACGUGCUACAAUGGACAGAACAAAGGGCAGCGAAACCGCGAGGUUAAGCCAAUCCCACAAAUCUGUUCUCAGUUCGGAUCGCAGUCUGCAACUCGACUGCGUGAAGCUGGAAUCGCUAGUAAUCGCGGAUCAGCAUGCCGCGGUGAAUACGUUCCCGGGCCUUGUACACACCGCCCGUCACACCACGAGAGUUUGUAACACCCGAAGUCGGUGAGGUAACCUUUUAGAGCCAGCCGCCAAGUGAAG